RNAcentral lists this ribosomal RNA (468 nucleotides) under uncultured bacterium. RNAcentral describes it as "partial 16S ribosomal RNA". It matches the Rfam family "Bacterial small subunit ribosomal RNA", at positions 28 to 507 of the family's 1533-position model. The record is from RNAcentral.
GACGAACGCUGGCGGCGUGCUUAACACAUGCAAGUCGAACGGAAAGGCCCUGCUUUUGUGGGGUGCUCGAGUGGCGAACGGGUGAGUAACACGUGAGUAACCUGCCCUUGACUUUGGGAUAACUUCAGGAAACUGGGGCUAAUACCGGAUAGGGGCUCCUGCUGCAUGGUGGGGGUUGGAAAGUUUCGGCGGUUGGGGAUGGACUCGCGGCUUAUCAGCUUGUUGGUGGGGUAGUGGCUUACCAAGGCUUUGACGGGUAGCCGGCCUGAGAGGGUGACCGGCCACAUUGGGACUGAGAUACGGCCCAGACGCCUACGGGAGGCAGCAGUGGGGAGUAUUGCACAAUGGGCGGAAGCCUGAGGCAGCAACGCCGCGUGCGGGAUGACGGCCUUCGGGUUGUAAACCGCUUUCGCCUGUGACGAAGCGUGAGUGACGGUAAUGGGUAAAGAAGCACCGGCUAACUACGUG